AGCUCUCUCACGGGAGGAUAGGGAAAAAUACAUAACACCUGUAUCUUGCUCUCCAAGAUUUUUUGGGGUCAUUCUUAUCCAUAUACACACAUACACAUCAGACACACACCAGGGAUCCUUCCUACUCAUUUUCCUCUCCGUUACCAAUAUAUAAGCACACACCCAGUUCAUUAUAGGGGGGACGAGAGAAAACGAGAGAGAAAGGGGGCGCAUUAUGAGUAAAAAUUGUCAGUAGCAGCCAAGACUCUCCUUUCUUCUCCAACUUAGCGUGGCCAUGAAAACUAGUAAAAACCUCCCAUAACUCCAGCAUCUAUCUUCCAUGAAAACACCAAUUCCCACCAUGAAACUCCAUAGAGCUGACCAUCACUGUCCACCCCCAAACUCCGGUUGAAAAACAGCUUCAAACACAACUAGAUCUCUAGCAAAACAACCCCCCAAAACCAGCCACUAAAUAGCCACAAAACAAUUCGUUUGAGUUUAAGUUCGAGACUUCCUUGUUCGAGGUUGUCGUCGUCAAAUUUUCCUGUCAGUUGAGUCUUCCGUUGGUUCCCAGGCGAGGUUUCGUCAUUGGCAAGGUCCCCGAUCUGAGAUCAGUGAGGGUUCCCGGCGAGGUUCUUUUUGGCUUCGAGUCAGAGUUUCCCUCUUUUCUGCUUUUGGAUAAUCGACAUGAUUUUCUGUACGUUGGCUUGGAGUUUUCUGCUAAUAUAAGUUUCGAACCGUUCGGAGAUCGGUACACGCGGGAUGGUAUUUUGGGAGUAUCGUUUGGCUUGCUCAAUAUUGGAUUCGGCUUGUUCGAGUUAUUGGCUAUUGGUGUUGGACUCCCACCUUUGUUCCAGCUCGUCACUACUUUCAACCUAAGGUUAGGCUUGUUACUUAUUGAGUACAUGGGGUCGGUUGUACUCAUACUACACUUCUGCAGCUUGAGUGCAAAUUUGGAUGCUGACGUUGAUGUGCAUGACGGGAGCUAGCAUUGAAGACGUACCUGCAUUCUGUUAUAGCUGCCUCUUGUUCAUGGUAGCUCUAGACUUACGAAAAAUCUGUUUAUGUAUUAUUCGGACAGAUGAUGUAUUUAUUCUGCACUAGCUUUCUAAACUCUAAAUCUUAGAAGCUCAUGAUUUGUACUACCAGCCCUUGGAAAAUUUUUGUAUAAAAGCAAUUGUAUUAUCAAUUCUUUUCUUGAUAAA
Long non-coding RNA from Nicotiana tabacum (common tobacco), 1184 nucleotides. RefSeq lists it as uncharacterized. Lineage: Eukaryota; Viridiplantae; Streptophyta; Magnoliopsida; Solanales; Solanaceae. The record is from RefSeq and is a predicted model, not a curated record.